This 253-nucleotide ribosomal RNA is filed under the name uncultured bacterium. RNAcentral describes it as "partial 16S ribosomal RNA". It matches the Rfam family "Bacterial small subunit ribosomal RNA", at positions 524 to 776 of the family's 1533-position model. The record is from RNAcentral.
UACGAAGGGGGCGAGCGUUGUUCGGAUUUACUGGGCGUAAAGCGUGCGCAGGCGGUUGUGCAAGACAGAUGUGAAAUCCCCGGGCUUAACCUGGGAAUUGCAUUUGUGACUGCACGGCUAGAGUGUGUCAGAGGGAGGUAGAAUUCCACGUGUAGCAGUGAAAUGCGUAGAUAUGUGGAGGAAUACCGAUGGCGAAGGCAGCCUCCUGGGAUAACACUGACGCUCAUGCACGAAAGCGUGGGGAGCAAACAGG